RNAcentral lists this ribosomal RNA (236 nucleotides) under uncultured Actinomycetales bacterium. RNAcentral's name for it is "partial 16S ribosomal RNA". It matches the Rfam family "Bacterial small subunit ribosomal RNA", at positions 96 to 334 of the family's 1533-position model. Lineage: Bacteria; Bacillati; Actinomycetota; Actinomycetes; Actinomycetales. The record is from RNAcentral.
UGGCGAACGGGUGAGUAACACGUGGGUAAUCUGCCCUGCACUCUGGGAUAAGCCUGGGAAACUGGGUCUAAUACUGGAUAUGACCUUUCUCCUUAUGGGGUUUGGUGGAAAGUUUUUCGGUGUAGGAUGAGCCCGCGGCCUAUCAGCUUGUUGGUGGGGUGAUGGCCUACCAAGGCGACGACGGGUAGCCGGCCUGAGAGGGUGAUCGGCCACAUUUGGACUGAGAUACGGCCCAG